AAGCAUGGGCCAACACCGCACCAGAUCCGUUAAACGGACUCCCAUCUCCAUGGGAGACACGCUGAAAACUAAUCUUAAGGUCAGCACCUUGAUAACUUGUAGCUCUUGUAAACGUGAAGUAUUGUCCAGAAGCAGUCGCCCAUCUGUUAAAAGCUCGAGUAACAGGUGGCAUAAACCGGGUUGGGAAAAGUGGCCCAAACCCGUAAGUUAGCUGCCUUUUAACACUAGGCCAUUUUGGUGUUCCGGGAAGGAAUUGGUAAUGCGAGACUAUGUGGAAAGAGUUAUGAGUGUGUUGGGGAAUUACUUUAUCGGGGAAACCACAACGAGGCAUUGCCAUCUGGGAUAUCGUUGGCUCGUCAAGCGUCCCUGUCGCAUUGAGAUGGUAGUAGACCUGGUACGACUUGAGCGCUACCUCAAGCUCCUCGGUAAAAUGAUCUUCUUCAAGGUCUGCGAGAUUUGGGUUUUUCUGGUAGUUUAGGUAUCCGAAAUGAGAAAGAUAGAGUUUAAGGUCACGAAUGCCUUUUACUUUAUCGCCCUUAUGAGAACCUUGCAUGGCUUUAAGGAACCCAAAAGGCGACGACUUCGUAUCUUUACUGGACAAUGUAUUUGGUCGUAAAUGUGUGUCGUGAGGAUGUGAAAGAACUGUUAGCAUAAAGGAAGCAAGAAGGAGCAUGCAUGAAAAGGGAAGAAAGAGUUUAGAAUCUCUAGAUGCCAUUACAACUUCUAAGUUUAGAUGUUGAAAUGUUGAGAGUACUUCUUUAUGAGGUUUAUAUUCAGGGUCUCUAUUUAUAGUGAUUUU
This 799-nucleotide long non-coding RNA is filed under the name Lactuca sativa (garden lettuce). RNAcentral's name for it is "long non-coding RNA (LSAT_LNC002996)". The record is from RNAcentral. Lineage: Eukaryota; Viridiplantae; Streptophyta; Magnoliopsida; Asterales; Asteraceae.